GUUUCCUUCUUUGGAAAAGCUGCCAGUUGGUGAUUCCAGAAUUGACCAGGCAUUCUGUUUAAUCAAGCCUGGUGACAUCAUCAAUGAUUGCUUCACCUCGACUGAAUUCCCAGAGCAAACUUCUGGAAAAGUCUGAGGGAGGGCGUGUGACCCAUAUCCAAAGGACAGGAAAAUCCCCCAGAAGCCACACUUUAAGACCAUAAGCAAAGUGUGGCCCAGAUGGUUAGAGGAUGCAGACAUACACAAAAGGGUGAUUCGUUUUCCACAUUUAUUGGGUACUCACAGAUUCUAGACACUAUACCCAGUCCAGAUGCAGACAAAGCUCCCGUUCUAAGAGCUUAUGAUCUAAAUUCCUUGUGGAAAGUCUGUCUUUGAAAUGUUUAAGGCACCUCAUUUAAUCCUCAUUUCCACUUCAAGUCGUGGACCUGCUUCCCGAGAAACCCAUCCCUUUUGAAGUUGGUAGCUGGCCUUCUGCUUUUGCUAUUUAUGUGCCAAUUGAAAGGGUGGAGAGAGCCACAUUAAUUUUGAAAUAAAACACAAAUAGCGAAAUGAGGCUUGGUUAAAGUAAAAACCACAAAAGGACUUUUUUUUUCCUCUCAUACUUUUCAGAUUUUCCUAGAACCACCUUUAUUUCCUCAGAGCCCAGACAUAGAAAGUGAGUGGGCCUCUCCGGAUGCUCUUCCAAGAGAAAGAGAAAGCCCGCUUCCUCAUCUCCCCUCAGUGCACCUUGAAGUUUUGCUUUUCAUUUUUAGACAGUUGAGUCCCAAACUGGGGCUCAGAGAGGAAUCGAAGCGUCUAAUUCACAUGUGGUGUUUCUAAGCAUCUUGGAGGAGAUUUCGGUUUGCUUUUGCAUAGCCUGUAUCUUACCUCUUCUGUUCACUGCGUCAGCUUGUGCAUCCUGGGUGAUGGGAAUGGGGCUCUCAAGUCACAUCCUCCUGGGUGGAUUCCCAGUGUCGCUACUUACCAGUCCCGUGACUUCAUCUGCUGAAGGGGAAGAAGGAUGCACACCUCUCAGGGCCGCAGUGAGGACUAAGCAGUUAAGACCAGAAUGGGCUCAGCAGAAAGCAAGCCCUUAAUACACCGCAGCUAUUAGGAAAAUAGAUCCUUUCAUCUAUCUGCUCCUUCUUUAACAAAUCCCCUCCCCCUAUUUUGGAGAAGGAAAGAAAAUUAGUCAUCCAUCCCAAGUGGAUGAUUUAUCCCCAUUUUACAUCACCAAAGGGCCAAGUUUGACUUGUAAACACCUGGGCCUUUUAAUGGGAUGAGACCAGUGUUCUUGCUUCUCAGCAAGAGGCGACCCAACCGGUGGCGGUGCAAAGACUGGGCAGAGCACAGAAUAUGGGGAAGGGUGGUCUGGAAAAGCAGGCCCAGAGCCGACGGGAGGGGCCGGAGGGGUGCCUGCUCCUUGGAAAGACAGGUUCCCGCUUCGGGAUUCUGAGUCUCCGGGUCUGCAGGCAGAGGCCCGCCCGCCUCGGGGUCUGGUGACCGUGGACCCGAGGCGCGUGCGGCAGCGCCCUCUGCCGGCCGCGCGGGACAAGCGUCCAGCCCCGCGGCUCUGCAGGUGGGACCCGGGAUCCCUCCCGCUGCCUCCGCCCCCGCCCCCGCUCCCGCUCCAUCCCUUCCGAGGACCGCGCGGCCAGGUCCCCGACCGGAUUCCAGGAGACGCGUCCUUAUCUGACGCCUGCGGGCUGAGCAGAGACGAUGCUUGGAAACAUCCGAUUCACCUGGGGAUCGGAGGCCGCGGGAACCCACCUAAACCCCGCAGGGGCUGCGCCUCUUGGGCUCCGCGGCCAAAGUCUGCCGGGCUGUCGGAGGUGGUUUGGAAGUGGCAUCGCCUAUGGCCAAGACCGCGGGUUCUGCGGACAGAGAGGAGCCCUGGGUUCGCUUUCUGCCUCAUCCAUUUUCCAGCUAGGUGACCUUGGGCAAGCAGGAUAGCCUGGAUCUUCUUCCCACGUGGCAGCUGGGUCCCAGGAAGGACAUUCUGAGAGAUCAAGCCCUGAUGUAUACGCACUUCUCAAGCCUCUGCUUGAGUCGCACUUGCCGAUGACUAAGGCCCUGGGACCUCAAGUACAAUGCUGGGAAGAAGAGUUGACCCAGACAUUUUUGCCUUGCUCCUGAUUUCAAAAGGGAUAUUUCAAACAUUUCACCUUGAAGAAUGAUAUUUGCUGUAAUUAUUUGGUAAAAACUCUUUAUCAGAUUUGUCACUGUGGCUAAGCGCAGGUCAGUUAUCUUCAAUUUAGAAGAUCCUUCUUACCUCUGCUGGCCACCAAAUGGCCCUUCGAUUCUGGCCUUCCCUCCUAACAGUGAUGUACUGACGCCUGGGUACCAGGUACAGCGCCUGGAGGUCAACAGUAGGCCUGAAGAAGCCCAGCCAUUGGAGGUCUAGCUGGUUGUCAAUCCACAUCCCUUUUCUCCCACUCAAAACUCACUUUGUCUAAAACACUCUUCCUGAUUACCAGCCUGUGAUCCACCCUGAGUGCGGGGACCACAUCUUUUCAUCUCUCUAUCCCCAGGGCCCAGCCCAAAGCCUGCACAGAGAAGUUGCUCAAAAAUGCUUGUGAAACUGAGUUUGCCCAACCCAAUUCUGAGCUCUUUCUUGGCUCAGUUGAUCCUGAUUUUUAAAGUCGUUUCUCCAAAACGCUCUUGAGCCUUUUUUUGUAUGCGGCACAUGCAUCUGCUGUGUCUCACAAGACAGACAGUGGUUGCUUUGCAGAUAAGAACUGUGUCUACGGAGGAGUUUCUUUUGACUUUCCAAUUUCAGAGGCUGUCCGACACUAGCCCAAAGCCCCUUCAGCGUCUUGUCCAUCUGUGUUCUCAUCCACACUCCUACUCACAAGUUGGAAACUCUAGGUAAGCCUCACUCUUCAAGGUUUCCAGGAGGCCACACUGCGCCGUGCUUUUAUGCCAUACCUUUGCUCGUAGCAUGCCCUCUGCAACCCUCUUCUCAUGAACGCCCUCUCUGUUUUUCACAUGGUACCCAACUGUCAAAUCCUUGGUGAAGCCACCCUUACUCUCUUCCUUCCCGUCCACAUCCCUUGGGGGUCACUCUUUCCUCCUCUGUGCUCUUCAGAUGUUGUAUACGUGCCUUUUUAAUUUUUAUUUAAUUACUUUUAACUGAGGCAACGUUGGUUUAUAACCUCAUACAAAUUUCAGGUGUACCUCUUUCUAUUUCAAUUUCUGUGUAGACUACCGUGCCUUUUUAAAAAAACCUUUUUUUUUAACCCCCAAAUGCUUCACUAUCUAUUUCCUAAAAUCAGGACAAUUCUCUUACAGAGCUACAGUACUGUUGUCAAAAUCAGGCUAUUUAACAUGCAUACAAAUACAUUUUCUAAUCUACACUUCAUUUUAAAAUUUUACCCAUCAUUCCUUUUUUUAACUGGAUCGUUAACAAUUGUCACGUAGUUUUAUAGAUGUUUACAUUUCUCUGCCUCCCGUAUGCUUGCACGCACACAAUGCCCCUAAGAGUCUGGGCUUGUAUCUUUUAUCCGCAAUUCCAGCAAGGUGCCUUGUCAGUGAGUUUGUCUUCUGUGUGGUGUGCACGCGUGUCUGUGUUUAAUUAACGCGGUUAUAUGGCUCGUCUUCAGUUCCUCUGUCUUCCCAGCGUGGCCCUCCCUUCCUCCCCCUGCAUCAUGCUCCGUCAUUCUGGGGACCCACGCCCUCCCUCUCUCGCUAAACCCUUGCACUAACCUCAUUUCUGAGCCUUCAUUCAUACGAUGUAGUCAGUGACUCGUGGCGGCUUGUGGUGUCCCUCUUCCCAGGGAUAGACACUGAGGGAUAUAAAAAAUGAAUGCUACGCCCCUCCUGUCCUCCAGGGCCUCCACUUCUCAUGUUCUGUGUGUUUUCUUUUCUCGCCCAAACGCCAGCACCACCUGUGCCCACUGUCUGUGCUCGAUGACCGCUGGUUCGGUGAAUGAAUGCAAGCACAAAACGGUGGCCCUCGAGAUGAAGAGCCCAGGGUUCGACCACUCUCCAGUCGGGCCACUUGGCCACAUAAUCAAUCACUGGACACUAUGUUCCAAACCAGGGGUAUUAUAUUACUUUAUCCCUUUGGCUUAUUUAAAGCUAACAGGCCGUUCUGAGAAGCACUUCCGACUAAAAACUUGGGCUGCCCGUUUUAUGAGGGAAAAACAUCCCUAAGAGACUGAGGAGAGAAAUUGAAAAAGGACUGAAACACACCUCAUGGGGGUUAUCACGAUUUUAAAAUGCUUGACUUUCUAACUGGCGUCAUUUAUCCCUUAAAUGCUCGGAGCUCCAUGGGGAGAAAAUUCUACAGAAUUGGUAGAUUCCCUGCCCUCAGUAAGCUUAUCAUUUAUGCCGUAUACUUUAUGUGGCUCCUGGCUGCCCUGGUGUCCCGUUUGAUUGAGCCUUCCUAGGCCCCGCAUUGUUCUCAUGUCUAUUUAAUUGCACUGCCGAUCAUUAACCCAUGUGGAGCGCCAGAAAUAUGCAAGACAAUGGAAGUAACUCGCAAUUAGCUCCCAGAGGGCUUAUAAUACAAGCUCAACCAGGUUUCUGUGUUCUCCCAUCUCUCUGUUGCUUUUUGCUUUUUCCUCCGUGUUCAGUGUGUUCACAAGAAGGAGCCACCCUUCACCCGCUCCCUUCAAAUCUCAAAGUACCAGACGCUUCCCAAACCCACAAUGGGACCUCUGGCCUCAGUCCCACCUGUCCCCUUCUCGUCAGCGAGGCAUUUCAGGACCAGAACCCAUUCUUCACAGGUUGGACCAAGUGUUUUGAUGGAUCCCAGUGGAAAGUGACAGAGACCUUGAUCCUAUCCUCUUCUGGGCAUGAGGGCUCACGGAUCCCUAAGGCAUUUGCAAGGGUUGCUAAGAAAACCACGCACAGGUGGAAGAUGAUCCCAGGGGCGGAAGAGGCCAAAACUCUGCCCAAAUCUCGCCUUCCUCUGCCGGCCGUGAUGGGGUGCGCCUCCUCUGCUGGCAGCUAGUCCUGUGACAGCUGGUUUUGGGUCAAGAAACCUAGGUCUCCCAAUCCCCCACAGGGCUCUGAGGAGAGGCCAUGAGGGGCUGCUCCGUCGCCAGGAUCGCUCUGUCGUGGGACCAGUUUCUUGGGGAUAAUUAGCACUUCUCUGCCAUGGCCCCAAAUCAAACCCAGCCGAGAUCAUGUUACCUUGCGAUAUGUGUUGACACUGUUUGCCUCCUCAGAUUGCCACCCCAUCUUCCUAAGGUGGGAGAGAGAGGUGUGGAAGCCGUCAGAGGAGGCAAGGAAAAGGCUCUGGUCACUUGUCACUCUCCCAUAGGGCCCAGAGUGGGGCUGUUCCACACGGCACCUUUUCUGAUCUUUUGUCCUAUCUCGUUGGUGUCUCAAACCCCCUGGGGUUCUGGUCGCUUCCCCCUGGGAGAUGAUUUUUCCCAGCGAGUCCGCUCAUCCCUGACUUCCAGCACUCUCUUAAUUCCUAGCAUUGUUUCACUUUUAAAUGCACAUUAACUGGCCCAUCUUUCUCUCUGAUUCUUUUCACCUUGCUGGUGUUUGCACAUGGAAUGAUCAUCCUUGAUUUAUGAGUUAGCCAAGCUGUGCGUAAUUAUUUCUUCAUCUUUACUCAUGAAUUCUCCCAUCCCUUAAUCACUCUUGUUUUCCCCUAAGCUGUCACUUUCUCUACAUUUGUCAGGUAAUGAGGCAGCUGCCGCCGUGUCCACUUCCUGUUCUGGGGCCUCAGCGUCUGAAGAGGGCAGACAGCGCGCUCAGGACCUGCCCCUGCCCCGGCCCCUUCGUAUCACGAAUUCGCUCGUCCUGGAUGGUUCAGCACUUCACAUUUUCAAAAUUUCAGCCAUUGUGUUUAUUGAAAGUGCAUCGACCACAAAACACCGCAGUUCACCUCUCUCUCUUUCUCGCUCUCUCUCUCGUGGAUGGGAAGAUUAUUCUGAAUCUAUGAAGGCAUUUAUUCACAGUGGCUUCUGAGUCAGGCUCUGCACCUACUUCAAUUUUAGAUGUUUUUCUGAAUCUCCUGUUGUGUGUGGCAGUUCAGGAACAGACACUGUGAGACGGAGAGGGGGACUCUGGAUCCGGAUUCAGGCAGCCCGGGUUCAAAUCCUAGGCUUUCCCCUCCCCGUGCCUAGCUGAGUGACCGUGGGCACGUCAUUUCACUUCCAGAAGCCUCGCCUUCGUGGUCCAUCAAAUGAAAUACUAUCUCCCUCUCCAGAGUUGUUGUAAGGAUGAGCUGAAAUGGCGUGUCUGAGCACAGCACAGAGCCGUCUCCCGUUUGUGUACAUUUCCUUCAGUUCAUGCACGUGGCUUCUUUUCCAGGUGAAUUCCAGACUUCGGGAGUUUGUAGACUAGGAAAAUCUCAAAACACAUUUUGAUGAGCAUACUUUUGCCAAGUUUUUAUUUUGCCAACUUUUAAUGUUGCCAAGUAAGAACAGUAUUAAAAAAACCAGCACAACUCACCUUCAUCCAUUUCCACUAAAUUUCAUAAAAGAAUAUUUAAAAAAAAAUCAAGAGGACAUCGUUACGAGUCAAAAAUGGAUGACGUUUAGCUUUACGAAAACCUCUCUGUAUUGCUCUUACUCAUCUUAUCUUAGAGAUGAGUGAACACUUGGUCUGCAGAUCAGUAUUUGGGAGCCGUCGCUCAUCCCGGACUCGCAGGGCUUUCCAGACUAGCGGUUCCCCGCUGUAGACGCCUCACCCCGAGGUGGGGAGGCGGAGGCGGAGGCGGAGGAUGAGCGAGCAGCACGUCUUUCGGUGCAAAGCGUAAGGAACUGCUGGGGUGUGAUCGCCGAGCCCAGGGACCUCGGGAUGUUCAGAGACGAGAGCGGUUGUGAGAAACUGAUGUGCACGAUAUAAAGUAUGUGAAGAGAACAGAGGCAGAACAUUUCCUGAGUUCCAGGUGGAAUACUGGCCGUGUUUGCAUUUUGGGUUUUUAAAAAAAGAUUGCAAGCAAGCGAUCAAAACUUGCCACAUCCGUCACUGAAGAGUGUGCGGGCUCGUGACGGUUUCACUCUGACGCAGCUCCCAAUUGCCUGCGGUUUUUCAGACACAUCCCCCUACAAUAUCCUUUGGGGUCAAAACAUUCCAUAGCUGGUCUAAGGGCAGAGGUGAAUCGUUUUUGAGAAGUUUGGGCUCACUCUGCUCAGCUGGUUUUGCUUAGGGGAGUGUGGAAAGAUCCCUAGGGGUUCUUUUCUAGGAGAAAAAAAUUACACACGCACACCACAGACACACACAUCAUUUGGGGCCUUUUAAAGUCGGGUUAACUCCUACCUGGGGAGGGAACCUCGGCCAGACGGGAAAUCUUAGUGGAUGACAAUUGAACUGCACUGACCCAUCUGGUGUCCGGAAGGAGGCGCAGAGCAGGCCUGUGCCAACUCUGGGUCCACGUGGGAGCACGCUGCCCUGUGCUGGGGGCCUGCUCCUGAGCCCCAGGUACUGCUGAUUUUGUAGAAUAAAAGUCACAAGCACUUAC
Molecule: non-coding RNA, 7405 nt
Organism: Equus caballus (horse)
Lineage: Eukaryota; Metazoa; Chordata; Mammalia; Perissodactyla; Equidae
Source: RefSeq, a predicted model, not a curated record